This is a long non-coding RNA of Frankliniella occidentalis (western flower thrips), 1334 nucleotides long. RefSeq lists it as uncharacterized. The record is from RefSeq and is a predicted model, not a curated record. NCBI's taxonomy places the organism in Eukaryota, Metazoa, Arthropoda, Insecta, Thysanoptera, Thripidae. The transcript has 3 exons.
CCGACACGAUGUAGGGCGGGUCGUGCACGGAGAGCACCCAGGGUACCAGGUCUCACCGUUGGUGUGGUGGCAGAACGGGCAAAGGAGGGUGGAGGUUUGGCCCCUCCCGGAACUCGAACUGUGAAACUCCGGUCCGAGAGUGACGGAGCAACGAAGGAGGGACUUCUGCUGGCUGGACGUACUACAGCGUCUCGAGGUGGAGGCGUUCUAUGACCAGUCAUCUCAGUCUGGUGACCUGCGACCCUGCGGUGUUGGGCGGACUGGUGACAUAGUGCUCGCGGCUGGAGAACAAGGAAAUCGACCAGGCUCGCCGCGCUGCACCCGCCACCCGCCCAGCUGCCGCCGUGCCCGCACCAGAGUGCCCGCAGCGCCUCAAUGUUCUGGACAACGCGGCGCUGAUGGUCCCUCGCAGACUCAGGAUGACCAAGUGAUCGCCUCCCAGGGCGUGGCGUGGGCUACUCCAAGAGGAGGAAGAAGAAGCCGCUGACUCCAUGCGCAGUUUGCCAAAGACCCGCGGCAGGCCAAGGCAAACUUUGGUUGUCAGGAACAGCACGCAGUGAGCCUCGCCCUCGCCGUGCCGUCCCGGGCCUCGUGUGCAGAGCACCGUGUGUAGCAGCAGAACGACCAGGGCCUCGGCGGUGACAGCACAGAAGGUAGCGGAGCGUCGGUCUCCGUCCAGGUGGCAUCGGGCUGUACAUCCAGAUCAUCGAGACCUUCGAGACCGUCCAGACCUUUCAGAAUGACUUCGUGACAUCGGGGUGCAGACCAGCAGACCAGUCCUAGGCAGGGCAGACGCACAGUGCGCCGCUAAGCCGAGACCCAGCAGCAGCCGCCCAGAUGGCAGCGGAGCACCGAAGCUGCCGGUCCUCGCCGAGGCCACCCCGAGUGACGGACGAGUGGCGACGACGACCGACCCCCCACGCUCGACGCCGUCAACGACGCUGUUGGGGUGCUCGAGGUCCGGCGCCCGACGACGUCCCCAGUCGAGAGACGCGUGAGAUUUGAGAAGCUCCUGGCUUUAGGUACUGUCUUGAAUCUUUCUCCAGCUGCAGUGAUGUUUUUUGCGCCUUGCAAUUCCACAACAGCAACGCUCUUCUACUUUUGAUGAUACGCUUUGUCUGACUUGAAGCUACUCACUUUACGUGUGGAUAGGCCAACAGCAGGUGGCAGUCUCCAUGUAUUUGCUUCCCUCAACGCGCACUUCUCCAUAUCUGAUCAUCUCAUCUUUGAAUUAAUGUAAGUGCUUUCAUCAUACCUGUAGCGUCUUUGUCUUGUUCCUUCGUAAUGUCAUGGUUCUCUUGCCUCACGAUGGCCAUUCAAGUUUUUCUUUGGAC